RNAcentral lists this ribosomal RNA (615 nucleotides) under Triticum aestivum (bread wheat). RNAcentral describes it as "partial small subunit ribosomal RNA". The record is from RNAcentral. Lineage: Eukaryota; Viridiplantae; Streptophyta; Magnoliopsida; Poales; Poaceae.
AUGGCGCCUAGGGGCGGCUACACAGUAGAAGGAGGAAGCUCAAUAACGUCCAUGGAUCUAGGCCACGGGAGUGUUGAAUCAGGCGAAUCUCUUCAGCCGGAACACCGUAUUGUGGAUGAACCUUCAAAAGAUAUUCUGGAUCCGGAGUUCUACGGCAUAGACACGUCCUCUGCACACAGAUGCAUUCACGGAAUGCAUCCAGCAAAAAAAGUUGCGUUCGUCUACGCAGCCACAGGGAGGAGGUUCCUAGGAUGCCCUCUCUCGGGAGAUGAUAUGUGCCACUGGUUCUUGUGGAUUGAUGAACCAUGGGGUCCAGUACUUAGCCGUUCAAUAAAAAACCUAUGGGAUCAAACUUCUCGGGUCGCUGACAGAGCAGCAAUGUUGGAGACAAAGAAGAAGGAAAUGGAGCACGCUUACUUAGAUCUUUGGACUGAAAGAAGCAAUAUGGAGAUAGAACACGAGCAGGUUGUCAACGGUUUGAAGAACAGAUUAGUUGACAAUGAGAUUAAGAUGUCCAGGAGGUUGGAUUUUCACAUUAAGUUGUGUGUGGCAUCUAUUUCUUCAGCUGUUACUCUAGCUUCAGUGCUGGCUUAUGUUCUAUCUACAUUGACAUAG